UACGUAGGGUGCGAGCGUUAAUCGGAAUUACUGGGCGUAAAGCGUGCGCAGGCGGUUAUGCAAGACAGAUGUGAAAUCCCCGGGCUCAACCUGGGAACUGCAUUUGUGACUGCAUGGCUGGAGUGCGGCAGAGGGGGAUGGAAUUCCGCGUGUAGCAGUGAAAUGCGUAGAUAUGCGGAGGAACACCGAUGGCGAAGGCAAUCCCCUGGGCCUGCACUGACGCUCAUGCACGAAAGCGUGGGGAGCAAAAGGG
This 253-nucleotide ribosomal RNA is filed under the name uncultured bacterium. RNAcentral's name for it is "partial 16S ribosomal RNA". It matches the Rfam family "Bacterial small subunit ribosomal RNA", at positions 524 to 776 of the family's 1533-position model. The record is from RNAcentral.